RNAcentral lists this transfer RNA (75 nucleotides) under Bacteroidota bacterium. RNAcentral's name for it is "Bacteroidetes bacterium (marine metagenome) tRNA-Asn". It matches the Rfam family "tRNA". From Rfam's summary of the family: Transfer RNA (tRNA) molecules are approximately 80 nucleotides in length. The record is from RNAcentral. RNAcentral also lists the same sequence under 2 other names. Lineage: Bacteria; Pseudomonadati; Bacteroidota.
UCCUCGGUAGCUCAGUGGUAGAGCAAUCGGCUGUUAACCGAUUGGUCGCUGGUUCGAAUCCAGCCCGGGGAGCCA